RNAcentral lists this ribosomal RNA (403 nucleotides) under uncultured bacterium. Its description in RNAcentral is "bacterial SSU rRNA". It matches the Rfam family "Bacterial small subunit ribosomal RNA", at positions 86 to 507 of the family's 1533-position model. The record is from RNAcentral.
UAUGACUGAGUGGCGGACGGGUGAGUAACGCGUGGGUAACCUGCCUUGUACUGGGGGAUAGCAGCUGGAAACGGCUGGUAAUACCGCAUAAGCGCACAAUGUUGCAUGACAUGGUGUGAAAAACUCCGGUGGUAUAAGAUGGACCCGCGUCUGAUUAGCUAGUUGGUGAGAUAACAGCCCACCAAGGCGACGAUCAGUAGCCGACCUGANAGGGUGACCGGCCACAUUGGGACUGAGACACGGCCCAGACUCCUACGGGAGGCAGCAGUGGGGAAUAUUGCACAAUGGAGGAAACUCUGAUGCAGCGACGCCGCGUGAGUGAAGAAGUAAUUCGUUAUGUAAAGCUCUAUCAGCAGGGAAGAUAGUGACGGUACCUGACUAAGAAGCUCCGGCUAAAUACGUG